RNAcentral lists this ribosomal RNA (501 nucleotides) under Fusobacterium sp. oral clone BP1-9. RNAcentral describes it as "bacterial SSU rRNA". It matches the Rfam family "Bacterial small subunit ribosomal RNA", at positions 8 to 521 of the family's 1533-position model. Lineage: Bacteria; Fusobacteriati; Fusobacteriota; Fusobacteriia; Fusobacteriales; Fusobacteriaceae. RNAcentral also lists the same sequence under 1 other name. The record is from RNAcentral.
AGAGUUUGAUCCUGGCUCAGGAUGAACGCUGACAGAAUGCUUAACACAUGCAAGUCUACUUGAAUUUGGGUUUUUAACUUAGGUUUGGGUGGCGGACGGGUGAGUAACGCGUAAAGAACUUGCCUCACAGCUAGGGACAACAUUUAGAAAUGAAUGCUAAUACCUAAUAUUAUGAUAAUAGGGCAUCCUAUAAUUAUGAAAGCUAUAUGCGCUGUGAGAGAGCUUUGCGUCCCAUUAGCUAGUUGGAGAGGUAACGGCUCACCAAGGCGAUGAUGGGUAGCCGGCCUGAGAGGGUGAUCGGCCACAAGGGGACUGAGACACGGCCCUUACUCCUACGGGAGGCAGCAGUGGGGAAUAUUGGACAAUGGACCGAGAGUCUGAUCCAGCAAUUCUGUGUGCACGAUGAAGUUUUUCGGAAUGUAAAGUGCUUUCAGUUGGGAAGAAAGAAAUGACGGUACCAACAGAAGAAGUGACGGCUAAAUACGUGCCAGCAGCCGCGGU